Callorhinus ursinus (northern fur seal) is the source of this 148-nucleotide non-coding RNA. NCBI's taxonomy places the organism in Eukaryota, Metazoa, Chordata, Mammalia, Carnivora, Otariidae. The record is from RefSeq and is a predicted model, not a curated record.
UUGGGUAUUCAUCUGGUGUCCACACUAAGUUCGGCAUCAAUAUGGUGACCUCCCGGGAGAUGGGGACCACCAGGUUGCCUAAGGAGGGGUGAACCAGACCAGAUCGGAAACGGAGCAGGUCAAAACUCCUGUCGCUACAGUAGUGGGA